RNAcentral lists this ribosomal RNA (468 nucleotides) under uncultured bacterium. RNAcentral describes it as "partial 16S ribosomal RNA". It matches the Rfam family "Bacterial small subunit ribosomal RNA", at positions 28 to 507 of the family's 1533-position model. The record is from RNAcentral.
GACGAACGCUGGCGGCGUGCUUAACACAUGCAAGUCGAACGGAAAGGCCCAGCUUUUGGGGUGUACUCGAGGGGAAAGGGGGUGUGACACACGAGUAUACCGUGCCCUAGACUGUGGGAUACCUUCAGGAAACUGGGUAUAAUCCCGGAGAGGCGCUCAUCGCGCGUGGGGGGGGGUGGAGAGUUUUGGCGGUUGGGGGUGGUCUCGCGGCAUAUCAGCUUGUUGGUGGGGUAGUGGCUUACCAAGGCCUCGACGGGUAGCCGGCCUGAGAGGGUGACCGGCCACACUGGGACUGAGAUACGGCCCAGACUCCUACGGGAGGCAGCAGUGGGGAAUAUUGCACAAUGGGCGGAAGCCUGAUGCAGCGACGCCGCGUGCGGGAUGACGGCCUUCGGGUUGUAAACCGCUUUCGCUAGGGAAGAAGCGAGAGUGACGGUACCGGGUGAAGAAGCACCGGCUAACUACGUG